Molecule: ribosomal RNA, 348 nt
Filed under: Triticum aestivum (bread wheat)
Lineage: Eukaryota; Viridiplantae; Streptophyta; Magnoliopsida; Poales; Poaceae
Description: partial small subunit ribosomal RNA
Source: RNAcentral
AUGCAGUAUAUAUAUUUACAAUGGUCAAAUGGUAGAAAGGAUGGGUUCCAUGAAGCUGGCCUAGAAGCUGGAUGCUUUCUGGAGGCUGGGCCAAGCAUGGUAUGCUCUUCAUUUCAUUUCCUUCUUGUGCCCUUUAGUCUUGAGAUUCCUAUCAUGUAUGUAUGUGUGGAAACUGGAAGCUUGGCUGACAUUAAAGAAUUGAUUGAUUGUGCUUGUCCUGUUCCUGCUGUUAGCUUACUAGUAGUCUGGAAUAUGAAAAAAGGGGAAGGUGAUCUUUUUAUUUAUAUGAAUACCAAAAUUGAAUUGCUAGAGCUAGAUGCUAUAUAUGGUAGUCAGAAACAAUCAUAG